AAAGGUGUAACUCAGUGGCAGAGUGCUUGCCUAGAAUGCAUAAGGCUCUGAAUUCAAUCCUCUGCACCAAUA
Molecule: transfer RNA, 72 nt
Filed under: Heterocephalus glaber (naked mole-rat)
Lineage: Eukaryota; Metazoa; Chordata; Mammalia; Rodentia; Bathyergidae
Rfam family: tRNA
About the family: Transfer RNA (tRNA) molecules are approximately 80 nucleotides in length.
Source: Rfam by way of RNAcentral